GCCUGAAUGGCUCAGUUAGUUGAGCAUCCGACUUCAGCUCAGGUCAUGAUCUUACGGUUUGUGAGUUCGAGCCCUACCUCAGGCU
This 85-nucleotide transfer RNA is filed under the name Felis catus (domestic cat). It matches the Rfam family "tRNA". From Rfam's summary of the family: Transfer RNA (tRNA) molecules are approximately 80 nucleotides in length. Their secondary structure includes four short double-helical elements and three loops (D, anti-codon, and T loops). The record is from Rfam by way of RNAcentral. Lineage: Eukaryota; Metazoa; Chordata; Mammalia; Carnivora; Felidae. RNAcentral also lists the same sequence under 3 other names.